Molecule: small nucleolar RNA, 86 nt
Organism: Epinephelus fuscoguttatus (brown-marbled grouper)
Lineage: Eukaryota; Metazoa; Chordata; Actinopteri; Perciformes; Serranidae
Product: small nucleolar RNA SNORD35
Exons: 1
Source: RefSeq, a predicted model, not a curated record
UGCAAAUGAUGUUUUUUUCUCACGAUGGUCUUCCAAGCUCAAGAAGCUCUGACGACAUUGCCUUUGGCAAAUGCUGAUGCAGCUCA